RNAcentral lists this ribosomal RNA (376 nucleotides) under uncultured organism. RNAcentral's name for it is "partial 16S ribosomal RNA". It matches the Rfam family "Bacterial small subunit ribosomal RNA", at positions 523 to 896 of the family's 1533-position model. The record is from RNAcentral.
GGGGAGGGGGGGCAAGCAUUGUUCAGAAUUACUGGGCGUAAAGGGCGCGUAGGCGGCCUGCCAAGUCAGGGGGUGAAAGGCCCGGGCUCAAACCCGGGAACUGCCCUUGAAACUGGCAAGCUAGAGUCCGAGAGAGGAUGGCGGAAUUCCCAGUGUAGAGGUGAAAUUCGUAGAUAUUGGGAAGAACACCGGUGGCGAAGGCGGCCAUCUGGCUCGGUACUGACGCUGAGGCGCGAAAGCGUGGGGAGCAAACAGGAUUAGAUACCCUGGUAGUCCACGCCGUAAACGAUGUGUGCUAGACGUUGGAGGUCUUAGGCCUUCGGUGUCGCAGCUAACGCGUUAAGCACACCGCCUGGGGAGUACGGCCGCAAGGUUA